GAAAGUAAGGAUAUUCUUCUGUGAAAAAAGUAAUGCCUCAAAUGCUUCCACAGGAUUAAUUUCAAGAUCUGAUUGUUAUGGAAGAUACCACAAGGAGAGAAAAAGAAGGAAUUUUGAGUGAUAAGGUAUAAAAGCAGACUGAAAUCAAGAACAGGGAAAUGAAUGAGUUAACAGUGCUAUUUCCAGUAUGACAAGUAGGAAAACAGAACAAAUUAUAUUUCAGCUACCUGGGAAAUAACAUAAGUGUGAUGGAAGCAAUGGAAGAGAGUGAGGAAUUAAACCACUUGUACAGAAGCAGUCAAUAGCAGUACCUGAUGGUGAUGGGAGCACAGAGCAAAAAAAGGAGGAUUUUCUACAGCUCAGAA
Molecule: long non-coding RNA, 365 nt
Organism: Cyanistes caeruleus (blue tit)
Lineage: Eukaryota; Metazoa; Chordata; Aves; Passeriformes; Paridae
Source: RefSeq, a predicted model, not a curated record